CAACAUUUUAACUCAAGACUGGUAAGGAUUUUGCUUAACAGAAACACUCACUCAGCCAUUACUUCCUAAUACAAGAGGACCCCAGGCCAGUACUUCAAAAGAGGAAUGCUUUUCUCCAAAGCAAGACUUCUGCAAAGAUCAAAAUACCUUUAAACUAAACUCAGGCUUUAUUACAACGUAAAUCAUGAUAAUUCACUUUUUAAGCAGCAAAAAGAAAAUCAAACCAUAUCAGAGGAGAAAGAAAAAAAGAUGGGCUCCCAGCCAGCACUGGGCUACUUACCUAGUCCAUGACAUGGCGGUGCCUCCAUGCUCAGGGCAGCACUAAACACCCACAGAAGCUUCAGCUUGCUCAUGCAUCACCCCCAAAACAGUCCCUUCCCCAGGACGCUCUUUAAAAGCAAUAGCACACAGCUGGCAAGAGGCAGAAGUACUCACAAGUCCCAGAUGGGACAGCUGCCUUUAUCAAAGUUAGUCAUUGGUGACUUCUCUAUAGCUAAAGGACACUUUAUGGGCUUGAAGAAAGUUAAAAAAUAACUCAGAAACUUUUAUUGAAACAAUGUCUUGGCAGUUCCCAUGUUCUAUUUAAGCGGGAAGAGGGCCCCAGGGCAGGAAAAGCUGUUUGGAGGCUGGCACGUGAGUCAAAGGCAUUCUCCAAGCUGCAGCAGGCUGUUCAGUAGCUGCAACUGGCAGAUGAAAGCCUUCAUCUAUUCUGCAGAUAUUCAAAGGAAGGCUCGUGCUUUCAGGGGGAAGCUGUUGAUCCUCAAGAGAAGGACAGCAUUGCCAAGCAGGAUAUGGUGUUGCAUUGGGAGUUACAAAUGUUGCUGUCUCAGACUCAGAACAGAGCCUGAAGGAAAGUUAAAAAUUCAGUAAUUCCAAGAAACGAGGGGGAUGUUGCACUGUCACAGCAAGCCCUGCAGAUCCAUGCAGGUCUCCAGCCCACCAGUCCCUUCUUACCUUCAGCCACCAGAACUCAGGCUUACACACUGCAAUUUAUAUUGAUUUUUCUCACCCUGAACUGUUGCUAAUGAAAGGGGCUGGAAAACCUGGGCCACCCAAGGAUUCUGUGUCCAAGAUCAAAGUUCAGCAUUCAGUUGCAGAUGAGCAGACAGCUGGGGGUCUCCACACCAUUCACCUGUCCUUUGCAUCCACAGCAAAUUUAUCAGCAACUCAGGCCCUUGACUUGGUAUCAUCUCUUGCAAGCAAAGGAAAGAUCUCUUUGAAGUAGUCAUUUCUUUUUCUCCCCUCUAAAAAGCAAACUUACUUUUCCAGAAAUAGAACAUUGCCCUCUGUAAACUUUUUGUUUGUUUGUUUUGCUCUUUGCUUCUUUUUCUUUCUUUCUCAUGAGUUUGGGACAAAUUUUUACAGUUGUCCUCAGAUUUGAAACAGCUGUUGCCACACUGUGCUUUUUGUCAUCUUUCAGAGGUUGUUGGAACAUUAUUUUUACAUAAAUAUUUACUAAAUUUAAUGGUGGUUUAAAAGAGAAAAGGAUGCUUGCUGAGUAUUUCUAUUUUUCUCCUUCUCAUAUCUAUCUGGUGCUUGCCCAACCAACACUUUCCCAAAGCAUGAGAAUUGGUCCCUGUGAUGAAUCACCCUGUCUAACAAGGCUCAAAAGUCCUUCUAUGCCAUUAAAUCAGCCUGAUGAUCCAGAUUUCCUGAUAUAUUGUUCUGUGCUUCAGCUGAAAAUAGGUGAAGUCAAUAAAGUUAACCCAGACCUCCUGCA
Molecule: long non-coding RNA, 1720 nt
Filed under: Anas platyrhynchos platyrhynchos (common mallard)
Lineage: Eukaryota; Metazoa; Chordata; Aves; Anseriformes; Anatidae
Description: lncRNA (ENSAPLG00000021287.1)
Source: RNAcentral